AACGCGUAUGCACACACCGCCCGUCAGGCGGAUAGCCGGGUGGAAACGCCGGAUAAUACGCCAUGCGCCCGUUGGGGGGCAUCCCCCAGCGGGCAAAGCGGAGACGCGGAGGGGGACGGGCAUGCGUGCCAUUAGCUUGUUGGCGGGGCGACGGCCCACCAAGGCGACGAUGGCUAGGGGAUCUGAGAGGACGGUCCCCCACACUGGUACUGAGACACGGACCAGACUCCUGCGGGAGGCAGCAGUAAGGGAUAUUGGGCAAUGGGGGGAACCCUGACCCAGCCAUGCCGCGUGAGGGAAGUAGGCCCUACGGGUCGUGAACCUCUUUUAUUCGGGGACAAGGGCGCGGUCGCGAACCGUGCUUGAGGGUACCGAAGGAAUAAGCGUCGGCUAACUCCGUGCCAGCAGCCGCGGUAAUACGGAGGACGCGAGCGUUAUCCGGAUUCAUUGGGUUUAAAGGGUGCGCAGGCGGCCUGUCAAGUCAGCGGUGAAAGCCCGGGGCCCAACCCCGGAAGUGCCGUUGAUACUGUCGGGCUGGAAUGCGGUCGAGGCGGGCGGAAUGUGGCGUGUAGCGGUGAAAUGCGUAGAUAUGCCACAGAACGCCGAUAGCGGAGGCAGCUCGCCAGGCCUGCAUUGACGCUCGGGCACGAAAGCGUGGGGAUCGAACAGGAUUAGAUACCCUGGUAGUCCACGCCGUAAACGAUGGGCGCUCGUCGUCGGCGAUAGAAUGUCGGCGGCCAAGCGAAAGCGAUAAGCGCCCCACCUGGGGAGUACGGUCGCAAGGCUGAAACUCAAAGGAAUUGACGGGGGCCCGCACAAGCGGAGGAACAUGUGGUUUAAUUCGAUGAUACGCGAGGAACCUUACCCGAGCUUGAAUUGCAGGAGAACGACCCAGAGAUGGGAAGGCCCUUCGGGGCUCCUGUGAAGGUGCUGCAUGGUUGUCGUCAGCUCGUGCCGUGAGGUGUCGGCUCAAGUGCCAUAACGAGCGCAACCCCCCUCUUCAGUUGCCAUCAGGCUAUGCUGGGCACUCUGCGGACACUGCCACCGUAAGGUGCGAGGAAGGUGGGGAUGACGUCAAAUCAGCACGGCCCUUACGUCCGGGGCUACACACGUGUUACAAUGGCCGGUACAGAGCGCCGCGCGCCCGCAAGGUCGCGCCAAUCGCGAAACCCGGCCUCAGUUCGGACUGGGGUCUGCAACCCGACCCCACGAAGCUGGAUUCGCUAGUAAUCGCGCAUCAGCCAUGGCGCGGUGAAUACAAGGCCGGGCCUUGCACUCACCGCCCGUCAAG
This 1291-nucleotide ribosomal RNA is filed under the name uncultured bacterium. Its description in RNAcentral is "bacterial SSU rRNA". It matches the Rfam family "Bacterial small subunit ribosomal RNA", at positions 112 to 1401 of the family's 1533-position model. The record is from RNAcentral.